GCUAGGAAGAGGAAGAAAUGGGUGCCCAAGAGCAGUCGGCGUGAGAACAUGGAGGAAAACCCGAAUUAUCUUUACCCCUGAAAUUUCAAGGGUUUAGAUCAAUUCCAGUGUUUUCCCGAUGCCUCUCAUGCCUAUUGUUCUUAUGCGCUCCUUCCUCUUCCUUCGUGCU
RNAcentral lists this microRNA precursor (169 nucleotides) under Leersia perrieri. RNAcentral describes it as "pre miRNA MIR2118". It matches the Rfam family "MIR2118 microRNA precursor family". Lineage: Eukaryota; Viridiplantae; Streptophyta; Magnoliopsida; Poales; Poaceae. The record is from Rfam by way of RNAcentral.